Molecule: long non-coding RNA, 1609 nt
Filed under: Homo sapiens (human)
Lineage: Eukaryota; Metazoa; Chordata; Mammalia; Primates; Hominidae
Description: HSALNT0151320
Source: RNAcentral
GUCCAUUUCUUGCAUUAUAGGUAGGGUGAGUCUAGUUUGAGUUUGCACAGUACUGUUUGCUCUUGUGAAAUUUCAGUUUGUACCUUAUAUCUCAGUAUAGUAUAAAUAUUAAUAGUACCUUAUGCUUUCAGAAGUAUCCCAGUUUGGAUGAGAAAUUAUAUGUUCAUCUUAUGCAUGUAUGUUAUAGUACCUCCAACACAAGUCAUCUCCCAACUCUCCAUAUUGAAAAGGUUCACAGCUUCCAUGACAUAAAUGAAACACUACAGUUUGGAAGAAUAGAAUAGUAAGUUUUCAUCAAAUGGAGUUUUACAUUCUAUUCAAGGAUUAAGGACCGCGCUGGCCUUUUUGGAACAAUCUGGCAAUGCCUCAGCUACAUCUCUAAAAUCUGCUCAGUACUGACACAGUGGCCACUAGGGCCAUGGUCCUUUGGAACUUCUUGACUCUAGAUUUCACCUUAAUCAAUAGAAGAGUAGUGUGUGCUCUUACUGGCAAUGAAUAUGCUAUCGAUAUUCUUGUCAAUGAGAACUUGUCUAGGAUUUGCAUAUUCCCAUUCAAAUAGAAACUACCACAUUUCAGCAGUCGGAGAGAAGGAACUGAGUUGCAUGGGCUGGUAGCCUUUCAGAAAACUGUGUAAGGCAUAUUAGCAAUAUUGUGGACUAUGAUAAGCCUGUAUAUAGUGGUAAUACUGAUAAAAUGUUGUAUAUAUUGUCUUAAAGGAAUGCAUCAAAAAUUUUCUUGUGUAAGUGUUGAAACUGUACAUUAUGUAUUUAAGAGAAAGCAAAUUUGAGGCUCAAGUAAUAAGAGAUCAUAUGCAGAUUUAGGUCUUAUAACAACAAAGAUGGAAGACUAGAGAAAAAAAAUGCUAUAACUUCUUGAUUUCACUGUUAGUAGGUAAUAUCCUUAAGUGUUUUCUCCAUAACUGCAAAUAAAUUCGAUCUCCACAGGCUGCUUUUUAUAAAAAAUGCUAAUUAAUUUGUGUCCUUGUAAUUAACUAAGGAUCUAUCUAAAAACAAAUAAAGGUGAUGUACCAUCUCCCCCACAGCAACAGAAGGAUUUUGCUUUGUGUCAUAAAUCAAGUUCAAAGAAUAUUCUUUGGUAACAUGUUAAAUUGCAAACUUUUUUUUUCUUUUGUUUGAGACACAGUCUCACUGUGUCACCCAGGCUGGAGUACAGUGGCACGAUCUCGGCUCCCUGCAACCUCCACCUUCUGGGUUCAAGCAAUUCUUUUGCCUCAGCCUCCCAAGUAUCUGGGAUUACAGACAUGCACCACCAUGCCCAAUGAAUUUUUGCAUUUUUAGUAGAGACAGGGUUUCACCAUGUUGGCCAGGCUGGUCUCAAUCUCCUGACCUCGGGUGAUCCACUUGCCUCAGCCUCCCAAAGUGCUGGGAUUACAGGUGUGAGCCACUGUGCCCGGCCAUUAAAUUGCAAACUUUCACAAGAAUUACCCGUCUUGUUCUCUUUGUGAGACAGAGAUUCAUGUGAAUUUGAGUUAAUGUUAUCUAUGCUUUGUCGUCUAUUAAUGUAAAGUUUUCCAGGAAGUAUUAUUUGACUAGAGUCAUUGUGAAACACGUACUAGAAAUUAUUAUUAAAUCCUUUGAAAAUAACCUCC